CAUGUCUUUAUUGAACACACCGCGUAAACAUUCACAGUGCAGGGUGGAAAAAGUAUGUGAAUCCAUGGAUUUAAUAACUGGUUGACCCUCCUUUGGCAGCAAUAACCUCAACCAAACGUUUUCUGUAGUUGCGGAUCAGACCUGCACAACGGUCAGGAGGAAUUUUGGACCAUUCCUCUUUACAAAACUGUUUCAGUUCAGCAGAAUUCUUGGGAUGUCUGGUGUGAACUGCUCCCUUGAGCUCAUGUCACAGCAUCUCAAUCGGGUUGAGGUCAGGACUCUGACUGGGCGACUCCAGAAGGCACAUUUUCUUCUGUUGAAGCAAUUCUGUUGUUGAUUUACUUCCUGUGUUUUUUGUUGUUGUCCUGUUGCAUCAUCCAACUUCUGUUGAGCUUCAAUUGGCGGACAGAUAUUCUUACAUUCUCCUGCAAAAUGUCUUGAUAAACUUGGGAAUUCAUUUUUCCGUCGAUGAUAGCAAGCUGUCCAGCCCCUGACACGGAACCCAAACCAUCGUGCAUACAUUUAUUUUGUCCACCCACACCAAAUGCGAUCACUACACGCAGGUUAAAUUAUCAAAACAAACUCUGAACCAAUGACAUUAAUUUGGGGACAGGUCGAAAAGCAUUAAACAUGUAUGGCAAUUUAGCUAGCUAGCUUGCACAUGCUAGCUAAUUUGUCCUAUUUAGCUAGCUUGCUGUUGCUAGCUAAUUUGUCCUGGGAUAUAAACAUUGAGUUGAUAUUUUACCUGAAAUGCACAAGGUCCUCUACUCCGACAAUUAAUCCACACAUAAAACAGCCAACCAAAUCGUUUCUAGUCAUCUCUCUUCCUUCCAGGCCUUUUUCAUCUUUGAACUUAUAUGGUGAUUGGCAUCUAAACUUUCAUAGUAUCGCGCUCGCGCACAUGACGAGUCUGGUCUGGUCAGCAUGUAAGGCAUCAAAGCAGCUUCAAACCAUUAUGUUCCCUUCACCAUACUUUACAGUUGGGAUGAGGUUUUGAUGUAGGGUGUCAUUUGGGGAGCACAUGAUGUUUCUGUACACUACAGGACUGAUGUAUCUGUAGCUGUUGCUAUGGAAGAGGCUUGGACUUGAGACAAAGCUGAGUGUGCAUAUAUAUACACACACACACACACACUCGCACACACACACACACACACACGCACACACGCACACGCACGUACACAUACACAGACGGACGCACACACACGGAUGCAC
Molecule: long non-coding RNA, 1212 nt
Filed under: Salmo salar (Atlantic salmon)
Lineage: Eukaryota; Metazoa; Chordata; Actinopteri; Salmoniformes; Salmonidae
Description: lncRNA (ENSSSAG00000117514.1)
Source: RNAcentral